This 253-nucleotide ribosomal RNA is filed under the name uncultured bacterium. Its description in RNAcentral is "partial 16S ribosomal RNA". It matches the Rfam family "Bacterial small subunit ribosomal RNA", at positions 524 to 776 of the family's 1533-position model. The record is from RNAcentral.
UACGGAGGGAGCUAGCGUUGUUCGGAAUUACUGGGCGUAAAGCGCACGUAGGCGGAUCCUUAAGUCGGGGGUGAAAUCCUGGAGCUCAACUCCAGAACUGCCUUCGAUACUGAGGAUCUCGAGUCCGGGAGAGGUGAGUGGAACUGCGAGUGUAGAGGUGAAAUUCGUAGAUAUUCGCAAGAACACCAGUGGCGAAGGCGGCUCACUGGCCCGGUACUGACGCUGAGGUGCGAAAGCGUGGGGAGCAAACAGG